This 90-nucleotide transfer RNA is filed under the name Paramuricea clavata. It matches the Rfam family "tRNA". Rfam says of the family: Transfer RNA (tRNA) molecules are approximately 80 nucleotides in length. Their secondary structure includes four short double-helical elements and three loops (D, anti-codon, and T loops). Further hydrogen bonds mediate the characteristic L-shaped molecular structure. tRNAs have two regions of fundamental functional importance: the anti-codon, which is responsible for specific mRNA codon recognition, and the 3' end, to which the tRNAs corresponding amino acid is attached (by aminoacyl-tRNA synthetases). tRNAs cope with the degeneracy of the genetic code in two manners: having more than one tRNA (with a specific anti-codon) for a particular amino acid; and 'wobble' base-pairing, i.e. permitting non-standard base-pairing at the 3rd anti-codon position. Lineage: Eukaryota; Metazoa; Cnidaria; Anthozoa; Malacalcyonacea; Plexauridae. The record is from Rfam by way of RNAcentral.
GCUCUCGUGGCCCAGUUGGUUAGUGCGUCGUACUUAUAAGCAGUACUUGAGUAUAUGCGAAGGUUGAGGGUUCGAUCCCCUCCGAGAGCA